Molecule: ribosomal RNA, 704 nt
Filed under: Alcaligenes faecalis
Lineage: Bacteria; Pseudomonadati; Pseudomonadota; Betaproteobacteria; Burkholderiales; Alcaligenaceae
Description: bacterial SSU rRNA
Rfam family: Bacterial small subunit ribosomal RNA
Source: RNAcentral
CCUAGAUGUCACUAGCUGUUGGGGCCGUUAGGCCUUAGUAGCGCAGCUAACGCGUGAAGUUGACCGCCUGGGGAGUACGGUCGCAAGAUUAAAACUCAAAGGAAUUGACGGGGACCCGCACAAGCGGUGGAUGAUGUGGAUUAAUUCGAUGCAACGCGAAAAACCUUACCUACCCUUGACAUGUCUGGAAAGCCGAAGAGAUUUGGCCGUGCUCGCAAGAGAACCGGAACACAGGUGCUGCAUGGCUGUCGUCAGCUCGUGUCGUGAGAUGUUGGGUUAAGUCCCGCAACGAGCGCAACCCUUGUCAUUAGUUGCUACGCAAGAGCACUCUAAUGAGACUGCCGGUGACAAACCGGAGGAAGGUGGGGAUGACGUCAAGUCCUCAUGGCCCUUAUGGGUAGGGCUUCACACGUCAUACAAUGGUCGGGACAGAGGGUCGCCAACCCGCGAGGGGGAGCCAAUCUCAGAAACCCGAUCGUAGUCCGGAUCGCAGUCUGCAACUCGACUGCGUGAAGUCGGAAUCGCUAGUAAUCGCGGAUCAGAAUGUCGCGGUGAAUACGUUCCCGGGUCUUGUACACACCGCCCGUCACACCAUGGGAGUGGGUUUCACCAGAAGUAGGUAGCCUAACCGUAAGGAGGGCGCUUACCACGGUGGGAUUCAUGACUGGGGUGAAGUCUACAAAGGGAAACCGGGAACCGGAUUC